RNAcentral lists this ribosomal RNA (253 nucleotides) under uncultured bacterium. RNAcentral describes it as "partial 16S ribosomal RNA". It matches the Rfam family "Bacterial small subunit ribosomal RNA", at positions 524 to 776 of the family's 1533-position model. The record is from RNAcentral.
UACAGAGGGGGCGAGCGUUGUUCGGAAUUACUGGGCGUAAAGGGCGCGUAGGUGGCCUGUUAAGUCGAACGUGAAAUCCCCGGGCUCAACCCGGGAACUGCGUCCGAGACUGGUAGGCUCGAAUCCGGGAGAGGGAUGUGGAAUUCCAGGUGUAGCGGUGAAAUGCGUAGAUAUCUGGAGGAACACCGGUGGCGAAGGCGGCAUCCUGGACCGGUAUUGACGCUGAGGCGCGAAAGCCAGGGGAGCAAACGGG